This 84-nucleotide transfer RNA is filed under the name Candidatus Izimoplasma sp. HR1. Its description in RNAcentral is "Candidatus Izimaplasma sp. HR1 tRNA". It matches the Rfam family "tRNA". Rfam says of the family: Transfer RNA (tRNA) molecules are approximately 80 nucleotides in length. Their secondary structure includes four short double-helical elements and three loops (D, anti-codon, and T loops). The record is from Rfam by way of RNAcentral. Lineage: Bacteria; Bacillati; Mycoplasmatota; Mollicutes; Candidatus Izemoplasmatales; Candidatus Izemoplasmataceae.
GCCAGUAUGGUGGAAUUGGUAGACACGCAAGAUUCAAAAUCUUGUGGCGGUAACGUCGUGCCGGUUCGACUCCGGCUACUGGUA